Molecule: long non-coding RNA, 3173 nt
Organism: Ictalurus punctatus (channel catfish)
Lineage: Eukaryota; Metazoa; Chordata; Actinopteri; Siluriformes; Ictaluridae
Source: Ensembl
GAGACUUUACGCAUGCGCACUGCAGAAAUCAUCUUCGGCGACGCCAUCGUCUACGUGUGAGUUCAUGAGUAGCGUUUUCUCAGAUUUUAUGCAGCUAAAAGCCCUUUCAAGUUAAAACAAAAUAAAUAAACAAAAAAUCCGCAUUAAGCAGAAAUUUAUUUCUUGGAGCUUUUCAUUCCUUAACUUUUCACUCAGAGAAACCAAAUCAUUAAAAAUGAAUGCUAUGAACAUUUUGCACUAUGUUAACACAACAUUUGCAGUUUUACUUAAAUGGAAGUUAGAUUCAUUCAUUGAGUUUAAGAAUAAAAAUUUACAUCUCAACUGAGCAGACAGGAUUAUAAUACCUAAAUAUAGAACUACAACAAUGUUGAUAGUAUCUGAGGCUGAUAUUACUGUAAUGGAAAGUACUUUAAAAUUUAAAGUAAACAACUGUAUUUACAGUACUAAAGUACUAUAAUAUCCUAUAUAGUAUAAAAUAACACAAUCCAGUACAUUUACUCAUUUGGUGGAUGCUUCUUCUUUCUUCUUAAUGCAAUUUCAACAUGCACAUGUAUGUAUAUUGUUUUUUUCCCCCUACUUAUUCUUCUUUGCACUAUUUGUAAUUUAUGUUUUUGUGUUCUACUUAUGUCCUGUUUAAAGUAUGUUUCUGGAAGGAUUCGCAGAGUAAAGAAUUUCAUUGUACUCUGUAACAGACCAUUUCCUUUACAUAUAGUGCCAUCCAUUAAUAUUAGCACCCUUAGUAAAUAUGAGCAAAGAAGGCUGCUCAUACACAAAGUAUACCAUAAUUUAAAGCUCAAAAGCAUUUGAAGGGAAUGACUUACAGUCACACAACCAACGGAAGUGUCCUCCUGGCCUUCAAUAAAGAAAGAUAUAAACAGAGCACAUCUAAUUGUCAGCCAAAAAAUGCUGUAAAGGAAUAUGCCACCUACUGUUUUGGGCUUCUUCUUAACAGCACCACCCUACAAGAAGCACUUAACCUCUUUCAGGAUAUGUCUAUGUUGUUCAUGUCAGCAAACAAUUCCAAUGGGGUUAUGGCAGCAAAAAACACACUGGACCAAAAAAUUCUGAAGUCCAAGCCUACUACUAUAGAUGAAACACUUCCACCAUAUGUAGAAGACAUGGAGAGGAGCAGCAACAUCAAGACAAUAUGUGUCAAAUCUCCCUUCACACAUUUAUUUAGUGGUGUUGUAGAGAAGACCAGGUGUACACAGAUAGAGAGUGGCAAAAAUAAUUAAUUCUACUGCACAGGGAUCAUUAAUGUCCUCAUGAGCAACUACAUGGGCAUUUUCCCCCUUUGGAGUGGCAUAUUGCUUGGGGACCUGAGCAGAUUCUGACCUGAGCAAUGGGCCAAGAGAUCCCUAUCUCAAAGACCAGCAAAGCAUCAUUCAAAGUAUUUUGAUCCACCAGAAGCAGUGCCCCAACCAAAAAGACACAAGAAAAAGCAAACAUCUGAGGAUCAUUCAGAGGACACAUCCAGAUCCAUGCUCUGUGGUCUAAGAAAGCAUGUGAGAUAGUCAUUGCCGUCACACAGUCAAAGGAAAAAAAAGGUCUUAUAUCCUGCAUCAUUCAGAGCUGAAAACACUCCAGCCACAUAAAUGGCUGGUGGGGGAGACAAUCCAAUGCUAUUUUGAAGUGGUGGUGAAUAACAGAGACCAGGGACACAGGAUUUUUAUACUAGAUCACUUUGAUGACUACGAAGGAAUGAUAAGUUUCCUGAAUGUCAACGGGAAUCAUUGGAUAUUUUUGUAUCUCCAUGCAGCAUCCAGCCAGGUGUUUGUUGUAGACCCAGCAGUACAUAAUGAAGACGCAAAAUCCAUGCAUGCAGCCACUAGAUUUCAGUAAUAUUUUUUGCUUGUUAUAUACUGUGCUUACAAAGAUGGGUUACAAAUUUAAAAAAAGCAUGAAUGCUUAGCCCCUAGUGUGAAGAGGCCCACUUCUUUUUGGUGUGUUUUCUUGUCACGGGGUAUUGAAUGGUGAAUGAUAUGCUGUGUUCUUUUCUAUCACCAGAUCUUUAGUAAAAUUAAACAAAAAUUAGAUUUUGGACCAAACUGUUUGUCAGUGCUCUCCAGUAUCAUCUUGAAAAUGUAAACAUUUUGAAAUAUAUUUUGAAAAAUGUAUGUUCUAUCCCUCCUGUUGGUGUUCCAGAGACUUGGCAUAGAUCUUGCAGAUCUCUGGAUCCUUAACGAUUAUUUUCGUAAGAAUAAAAUGACAGUCUUCGAGUCUUUUACAUUGUGUAAGUAUACUAGUCUUCUCAUAAGGUUUUUUUUUUAAUGCUGUCAAAUCCUUACAAUAAUUUUACUUAUUAACUUUUACUGUAAGUAGCAAGCAAUUCACAAUAAUUGUUAAGUGUAAAGUGAGUGAGAUAUGUAAAGACAAUAAUUAUACUACAUAUAAAAAUAUACUACAUAUAUAGGAAAUGAGUAGGCAAUAAUGUUUUAACACUUAAUGUUAUCCUGUCAAUCAUUUUGAUUCGCUUAACACACUUUUUUUCCCCCCACACAUUCAGUGUUUUAUGCACUAAAGCAAAAUGGAUAAUGUUGCCUUUCUAAUAAUAUAAUUAUAUUUAUAUGACCUGUAAAGAGAACGGAGAGCACAAUGCAGAACAUUCAUUUAAAUUGACUAACACAGUGGGUCUCUUAAAUAAAAAAGAUUCACAACAACAUUUAUUGUUUGGAGUUUGUACUAACAUUUGGUAAACAUAUGGUUGUAAAAAAGAACCUUAAAGUAGUUUAAAUAACACGAAUGUGUUUUUAUUGGUUUUGGGGCCUUUUUUGCUUUAUUUUGGUAGGGAUAGUAGAAAAUUGACAAGGCAAUAUAGGAUAGAAGUGUGGGGGUGUGAUCGGGAAAAUACCCUAUGAGCUGGGAAAUGAACCCUUCACUGUAGGAGAAAAGCAAUUGAUUUGUCAUCUUUCUCUACAUUUAGACUCAACAAAGAAUUAACAAAUAAAUAGGUCAUUUACAUGAAGAAUGUUCAUGAUUUUCUUUAUGUACACUGCCUAGACUCUAGACACGAACUAGAAAUUUUUAAUUAAAUGCUAUUCCUAAAUUAUCCGCUAGGGGCGCACUGAUUUAUUCAGAGUAGAAGACGCGACACAACCCUGGAUCUCAGACCGAACAGCAGAUGGUAGCAAUGCGCCUUCUGCUGUUUGUUAUUACACUGUGACCAUUUGUAA